ACUCUAAUAGUUUAUAUAAAACAUUGGUC
RNAcentral lists this transfer RNA (29 nucleotides) under Dicaeum australe (red-striped flowerpecker). Its description in RNAcentral is "partial tRNA-Thr". The record is from RNAcentral. Lineage: Eukaryota; Metazoa; Chordata; Aves; Passeriformes; Dicaeidae.